UCGCCUUGAGUUGGAGGAUGUUCACACCUCGCUUGGAGUUACGAGUUGGAGCUAUGUUGCAAUUGGACACUAUUUUGGGCUUGGAAGCAUGUUGAUAGUGGAGCGUAGUUUUGCAGGUCAUGGAGCGUAGCAGGUGGCUUCAAGUUUCGUGGUGGAGUCACCUAGGAAGCAGAUGGCCCAAGAGCAACACUGGGCAUUCGUGCUUAUGGAGUGUAGCAGGUGGCCUCUAGUUUUGCGGUGGAGGCACCUGGGAGGCGGACGACCCAAGAGCAGUGCUAGGCUUUUAUGCUCAUGGUUUUGUUAGUUU
This 307-nucleotide long non-coding RNA is filed under the name Selaginella moellendorffii. RNAcentral describes it as "long non-coding RNA (SMOE_LNC002302)". Lineage: Eukaryota; Viridiplantae; Streptophyta; Lycopodiopsida; Selaginellales; Selaginellaceae. The record is from RNAcentral.